This 253-nucleotide ribosomal RNA is filed under the name uncultured bacterium. RNAcentral's name for it is "partial 16S ribosomal RNA". It matches the Rfam family "Bacterial small subunit ribosomal RNA", at positions 524 to 776 of the family's 1533-position model. The record is from RNAcentral.
UACAGAGGGUGCGAGCGUUAAUCGGAAUUACUGGGCGUAAAGCGCGCGUAGGCGGUUUUGUAAGUCGGGUGUGAAAUCCCCAAGCUUAACUUGGGAACUGCAUUCGAGACUGCAUAGCUAGAGUAUGGGAGAGGAGACUGGAAUUUACGGUGUAGCGGUGAAAUGCGUAGAUAUCGUAAGGAAGACCAGUGGCGAAGGCGGGUCUCAGGACAGUUCCUGACGCUGAGGCACGAAGGCCAGGGGAGCAAACGGG